Molecule: non-coding RNA, 97 nt
Organism: Armillaria mellea
Lineage: Eukaryota; Fungi; Basidiomycota; Agaricomycetes; Agaricales; Physalacriaceae
Source: the annotation of a GenBank genome assembly
AGCCCGCCUAGCUCAAUCGGAUAGAGCGUCAGACUCUUACAAUGCCAGGCGGUGGAGUGCGUAAUCUGAAGGCUGGGGGUUCGACCCCCCCGGGCUA